AACGAACGUUGGCGGCGUGGAUUAGGCAUGCAAGUCGAGCGAGAACCGUAGCAAUACGGGGACAGCGGCGAAAGGGACAGUAAUGUGUAGGUACCUACCCCCGGGUUCGGGAUAGCUGCGGGAAACUGCAGGUAAUACCGAAUAAUGUCUCCGGACCAAAGGUUUGAUUCCACCUGGUGAGGGGCCUGCAUACUAUUAGCUUGUUGGUGGGGUAACGGCCUACCAAGGCGACGAUGGGUAGCGGGUGUGAGAGCAUGACCCGCGUCAUUGGGACUGAGACACUGCCCAGACACCUACGGGUGGCUGCAGUCGAGAAUCUUCGGCAAUGGGCGCAAGCCUGACCGAGCGACGCCGCGUGCGGGAUGAGGGCCUUGGGGUUGUAAACCGCUGUCGUAGAGGAGGAAAUGCAGGGGGGUUCUCCCCUUUGCUUGACCUAUUCUAGGAGGAAGUACGGGCUAAGUUCGUGCCAGCAGCCGCGGUAA
This 482-nucleotide ribosomal RNA is filed under the name uncultured bacterium. Its description in RNAcentral is "partial 16S ribosomal RNA". It matches the Rfam family "Bacterial small subunit ribosomal RNA", at positions 28 to 523 of the family's 1533-position model. The record is from RNAcentral.